CCUACGGGAGGCAGCAGUGAGGAAUAUUGGUCAAUGGACGAGAGUCUGAACCAGCCAAGUAGCGUGAAGGAUGACUGCCCUAUGGGUUGUAAACUUCUUUUAUAUGGGAAUAAAACGUUCCACGUGUGGGAUUUUGUAUGUACCAUAUGAAUAAGGAUCGGCUAACUCCGUGCCAGCAGCCGCGGUAAUACGGAGGAUCCGAGCGUUAUCCGGAUUUAUUGGGUUUAAAGGGAGCGUAGGUGGGCUGUUAAGUCAGUUGUGAAAGUUUGGGGCUCAACCGUAAAAUUGCAGUUGAAACUGGCAGUCUUGAGUACAGUAGAGGUGGGCGGAAUUCGUGGUGUAGCGGUGAAAUGCUUAGAUAUCACGAAGAACUCCGAUUGCGAAGGCAGUUCACUGGACUGCAACUGACACUGAGGCUCGAAAGUGUGGGUAUCAAACAGGAUUAGAUACCCGGGUAGUC
This 460-nucleotide ribosomal RNA is filed under the name uncultured bacterium. RNAcentral describes it as "partial 16S ribosomal RNA". It matches the Rfam family "Bacterial small subunit ribosomal RNA", at positions 338 to 795 of the family's 1533-position model. The record is from RNAcentral.